UGGGGAAUAUUGCACAAUGGGCGCAAGCCUGAUGCAGCCAUGCCGCGUGUAUGAAGAAGGCCUUCGGGUUGUAAAGUACUUUCAGUCGGGAGGAAGGUGGUAAGGUUAAUAACCUUAUCAAUUGACGUUACCGACAGAAGAAGCACCGGCUAACUCCGUGCCAGCAGCCGCGGUAAUACGGAGGGUGCAAGCGUUAAUCGGAAUUACUGGGCGUAAAGCGCACGCCGGCGGUUGAUUGAGUCAGAUGUGAAAUCCCCGGGCUUAACCCGGGAAUUGCAUCUGAUACUGGUCAGCUAGAGUCUUGUAGAGGGGGGUAGAAUUCCAUGUGUAGCGGUGAAAUGCGUAGAGAUGUGGAGGAAUACCGGUGGCGAAGGCGGCCCCCUGGACAAAGACUGACGCUCAGGUGCGAAAGCGUGGGGAGCAAACAGG
RNAcentral lists this ribosomal RNA (429 nucleotides) under Chloroflexota bacterium. RNAcentral's name for it is "Chloroflexi bacterium partial 16S ribosomal RNA". It matches the Rfam family "Bacterial small subunit ribosomal RNA", at positions 355 to 776 of the family's 1533-position model. Lineage: Bacteria; Bacillati; Chloroflexota. The record is from RNAcentral.